RNAcentral lists this long non-coding RNA (1074 nucleotides) under Numida meleagris (helmeted guineafowl). Its description in RNAcentral is "lncRNA (ENSNMEG00000010513.1)". The record is from RNAcentral. Lineage: Eukaryota; Metazoa; Chordata; Aves; Galliformes; Numididae.
CACAGCCAUUCAUUCUUUCUCUUCUUCAGUGGGAUGGGGGACACAAGCAAAAAGUGUAAGAACUUGUGAGUUAAGAUAAGGAUGAUUUAAUAAGGAAAACAAGCAAAAUACCAGAACAAACAAACAAGCCAACAACAAGCAAAAAAAAAAGGAUAAACAAAGUAAGUGAUACACAACACAACUGGUCGCCACCAGCUGUCUGAGGGAUGCUCGGCAAGUCCCUGAGCAACAUCAGCCCCUCGUGGGCAAUUCUCCCUAGUUUUGUUGUUCAGCAUGACAUCAUAAAGUAAUGGAACAUCUAUUUGGUCAGUUGGAUCAGUUGUCCUCAUUCUGUCCCCUCCUUAGCUCCUUGUGCACCCUGCUGUCAGGGCAGCACAAGAAGCUGAAAAGUCCUUAAUUUACUAUAACCACCACUCAGCAACAGCUAAAACAUCAGUGUGUUAUCAACAUUACUCUCACCCUAAAUCCGGAAUACAGCACCAUGCCAGCUACUAGGAAGAAAAUUAUGCUAGCCAAAAGCAGGACAGAAAAGCUGUGUGGGUGCUUAGCUGCUGGCUGGUGUCAAGACACCUCAAAGAUGGAAAGGGAGUACUACUGAAGCUGUUCAUAAGCUGGAUAAAACCUCAGGGAGACAUCUCUCAGUAAAAGGUAUUUGUAAUGCAUUUAAAGAGAAACACAAGGGAACAGAAAGAUAACACCCAGAGAGACUAGACAGAAGUGAAGAAUGCACAGUCCAGCAAACAAUCUGAAUUUGAACAGUAAUUCCAACAUAUGCCCUAGAGAUCACUUUCAAUCCAUAAGAAGAGUUUAUAGAAGACUGAAAAAUUACAGUUGCUUCAAGGACUGACUUAGCACACCUGACAUAAGGUAAACAGGAGAUAUCAGAUUUUCAGGAGCAGAUUAAUUGCUCUCUAGUCUUAGGAAAAUUCAGACUAAAGGAUGCCUGGGUUUACAAUAUAUAGACAGACAUAAAACAGUAAGUAUGUUAUUUCAAAUAAGCAAUAUGCAUGGUAAUAUAUGUCCGAUCACAAGAAUACAGUGAAUUUGGAAACGAAUGUGAUUUGUGUCCUGGAU